RNAcentral lists this ribosomal RNA (143 nucleotides) under uncultured eukaryote. RNAcentral's name for it is "partial small subunit ribosomal RNA". The record is from RNAcentral.
GUACACACCGCCCGUCAAGCCAUGAGAGCCGGUUCUAUCUAAAGCCGUUAGCCCAACCGUAAGGGGGGCGGCGUCUAGGGUAGGGUCKRUGAUCGGGGCUAAGUCGUAACAAGGUAGCAGUAGGUGAACCUGCAGAAGGAUCA